UUGCAGAGGGGCGGGUGGAGAAGGGGUUUAUUCCACAGCGACUCAAACCGCGUCAGAUCACACAAGGCCAUGGGCACCUCUGCUGUCCACCAGGGGAAAUUUCCACUGGCCCUUCACUCACUUCCUCCUGCCUCCCUGCCCUCCCCCGCGCUCCCCUCCCUUCUUGGCUCCUCCGUCUCUGCUCUCCUCCUCUCAGGGGCCAAACAGAUUUCACUCCUUUCUCACACAAGGCAGCUUAACCAUUUUUUGUGGCUGCACUGGCCCUAUGGUCACCCAUGCCCUAGGCUUUCCCCUUUUAACCCUAGCAGAUAGCAAGGUAUCUUCUCAAACAAAAGUGUUCCUCCCUAAGAAGAGUCUGCCAAGCUAUUGAAAUAACAGUCUUCCCCUCUUCACCGUAGCUGGGUGUCCUGACCUCAUCCCUGGCAUAUCUACCUGCCUACAGAUGUCCCCUGGUUGUUCUCAGGCUCCUCAAACGCAAUCUGUCUCCAGAUGUGAUCCUCCUGUCUCCUGGUACCCCCCCCAACCCCCAUGUUCUCCUCUUGUUUUCUGCAGCUCAGCUGGUGGCAUCUGGGAAGCAUCCUUGACCCUUUUCUCCCUCCUUCCCCCAUCCAGGAAAAGCAUCAAGUCCUGCUGAUUUUCAAUCCUAAAUAUCUCCUGACUGUGCCCUCUUUUUGCCACCCCUGCCGCCCUGCAGCCUUUCACCAGUCUCUCUGUCUGCUCCCUUGCUCCGUUUCAAUCAAUUUUCCAUACUGCAGCCCAAGUGCUAAAAUGCAAAUCUGAUCAUGCUGCUCCCCUGCUAAAAUCCCUUCCAAGCCUCCCAUCCCUCUGGAAGCUCUGUGCCUGCCUUCAGGGACCCUGCAGCUCUCCCUCACCUCUCCCCACUCUGUUACCCUCUGGUUUCACCAAAUGCACACUCUUGCUGGCCUCUCCUUGGAAAAAGCUCUCUCCUCUUCUUGGAGAUCCCUUGCACUCCCUUUGCUUGGGUAACUCCCAUUCCAAAGGCUCAGCUUUGACGUCGCUUGCUCCUUUCCUGGGUGGGGACCCUUCUGCGUGCUCCCACCACACCUGGGCAUUCUCCUACACUGCAGUCACCACAGGGUGUUGUCAUGGUGUGAAUGUGUCUCCCCAGUGAGGCAAGGCGGGGAGGCCUUUGGGGGGCGGGAACCAAGUUUUGUUCACCCCUGCAUGUAGUGUCUUGCACAGAGAUUGGCACAGUAACUGCCCAAUAAAUAUUUGUUGAAUGAAUGAAUAAAAACUUCUUGACUUCCCGGGGCAGAUGACUAUGUCUGCUGCAUUUCAGCCUCAUACUCAUACCUUCCCCCAACUGGGACUGAGCCCUCUGAUAUCUUCAAGAGAAACAUCUUAACUCUGGACUACAGGCUCUGUUCCUCCCCAGUCCCUGUCUGAGUCCCAGUAACAUCCCUCACCCAUUUCCUUCUGUUCUCCCUGCUGUCUCGACUUCACCAUGUCCUCUCCAGGGAACUCCUGGGCAUCUCACCCUGAGCAGGCUCUUGCCAGCGCUCCGUGGUCCUGGCUCCCUGUCCUCUCCACCCCGUCCCUGCUGCGUGUCUCUGUUCUCAUCCUCUUCCACGCCUUUCUGCCCCCCAUCUGCGCUGCUGAGCACUGCUGGAGAAACUCACCCAGUCGUGCAGACUGCUACCAUGACAAGUUCAUGGUCUCUGGCCCCAGUAGGGAUCGCAGCUCUGCUCAGCAAUCCUUCCACAGCUCUCCCCUCAUUCUUUAAACCUCCCCCACUCUCUUCAAGUAUUCGACUCACUCUGGCUUUCUCUCAGCAGAGCACCCACCCUUGCCUCCCACCCUACCUAGAAAGCCAAGCUAC
This 1840-nucleotide long non-coding RNA is filed under the name Homo sapiens (human). RNAcentral describes it as "HSALNT0368169". The record is from RNAcentral. Lineage: Eukaryota; Metazoa; Chordata; Mammalia; Primates; Hominidae.